UCCCUGGUGGCUCAGAUGGUAAAGAAUCUGCCUGCAAUGCAGGAGAUCUGGGUUCGAUCCCUGGGUCGGGAA
Molecule: transfer RNA, 72 nt
Filed under: Ovis aries (sheep)
Lineage: Eukaryota; Metazoa; Chordata; Mammalia; Artiodactyla; Bovidae
Rfam family: tRNA
About the family: Transfer RNA (tRNA) molecules are approximately 80 nucleotides in length. Their secondary structure includes four short double-helical elements and three loops (D, anti-codon, and T loops).
Source: Rfam by way of RNAcentral